This 116-nucleotide ribosomal RNA is filed under the name Pteropus alecto (black flying fox). The record is from RNAcentral. Lineage: Eukaryota; Metazoa; Chordata; Mammalia; Chiroptera; Pteropodidae.
GUCUGCGGCCAUGCCUCCCUGAACAAGCCCCAUGUCUGAUCUCAGAAGCUAAGCAGGGUCGGGCCUGGUGAGUACUUAGAUGGGAGACCACCUAGGAAGACCAAGUGCUGUAGGCG